Molecule: non-coding RNA, 1867 nt
Organism: Elaeis guineensis (African oil palm)
Lineage: Eukaryota; Viridiplantae; Streptophyta; Magnoliopsida; Arecales; Arecaceae
Source: RefSeq, a predicted model, not a curated record
GAAGCAUGGAAAGUUCCAAAAGCCCUCCAAAACCCAAGAAAAUGAAAAAUAGGAAGUUGAAAAAAUUAAAUUAAAAAGCGAGAGCUAAAUACUUAAGUAGACGAAAGACUGAUAGGAAGAGAAAUCGAAACCCUUACCUCUUUCUCUCUCCACCGAUCCUCUCCAGCUCCCUCCUUCCUCGUAAAAUCCAGAAGCUUCCUCGCCGAAGAAUCCAGAAUUCGGAUCGGAAUCUCUUCCCUCCCAUAGAUGGAGGACAAGAACCGGCCGCCGCCGGAAUCCGACGCCCGCGGCGGCGGCGGUGGCACCGGCCGCUGGCGAUACCUCGGCGACGGCGGUGCCGGGAUCUCCUCCCUCGACGAUCUCUGCGCCGGCGAGGAGGAGGAGGAGGAGGAGGCCAGCAUCCUGAGGGCGUUCGGGUGGAGCAUCCCGAUGGAGUCCAGCCCGAUCGGGGAGGAGGACGGCGGAUUCCCAGGGUUCGGCCUGGACGAUGCACCGGGACCGUCGGCGACGGUGGCGGCUCCACCGGAGGCCCGAUCCGACGCACCGGCGGCGGAUCUCCCAGCGAGAUCCGGCGACGCCGCGUCCUCCAGCUCCAGCGAGGAGCCCCCGCCGGAGCCCGACGAGAAGCCGGCCGAGACAGCGAGCAAAAGUACUAAGAAGGGACAGAAGCGAAGCCAUCAACCCAGAUUCGCAUUCAUGACUAAGAGCGAGAUUGAUCAUCUGGAAGAUGGCUACCGAUGGAGAAAGUAUGGGCAGAAGGCAGUCAAAAACAGUCCAUUUCCAAGGAGCUACUACCGCUGCACAAACAGCAAAUGCAUGGUGAAGAAACGAGUGGAGCGAUCCUCCGAAGAUCCCACCAUUGUGAUCACCACGUAUGAAGGCCAGCACUGCCACCACACGGUAUCCUUCCCUCGUGGCCAUGUCUACGUUCACAAUGUAGCUGCCUCUGCUGAACGGCCAGCAUUACCAUCUCCACACCUCUAUCUACCAGCAAUGCAGUUCCAUCAGAACCCUGCAGCGGCUGGAGGCCAGCAGUUGCUACAAACCCUCCAUGGAGAGCAUCAAACAUCCUUGCCGGCAAGAACUUCUUCGCCACUUCCCGCCGAUGAGGGACUGUUGGGUGACAUGGUGCCUCCUUGGAUGAGAAACAGAUGAGGAUGAUAACUGGGUAUUGAAAGACUCUUAUAACUUCUGUUAAUUUUUUUAUUCCUUUUGAACUAAGACAGUAGUAGGUACGGUCUGAGCAGUAUUAUCGCCAUCAAUCUCGCCAUAAGAUCAACCUUGCAGUAGUUUUGGAUUGUAGUAAUAGCAUUUACGCAAGAGAAAAAUUAGGUAUAUGUAAAGAAGAAGAAAAAGAGAAAGUAAAAUGGGGAAACCUGGGUGCAUGACCCAUGAUUGGUAAUAUGAUGGUGGUGGUGGGUGGUGAUGAUGAAUGAUGAUGAGGAUGAUGAUGGUGAAGAGUACAUGCAUGUGGUCCUUACAAAAUAAUCUAAGCAUAACGAGAUCAUCGAUGUCCCUGAAGGCCUAUACAUGCAUGGAGCUUCUACUUUUUUAUGUUAAUCUGGUACUGCCGCACCAUCACAUGCAGAGAGGAUAGACAGGAUGGCCAUCCACAUAUAAUGCCCCUGUUAGCUACAGCUUGUGUAGGCAUUGAUCUAUUUAAGUUUUAGACCUCUAAACUUGGCAGCUUUUGAUGCCACAUUAUUCUUGAUGCCUUUGGUUUUGUUUUGUGAUCUUUUAGAUAUACAGCAUCUGUUCACAUUGUGUACUGAUCAUUUGGAGUAGUAGUUAAUUUAUUCAAAACUCCUCCACUUGCUAGAACUCUAUAUUCAUGUGGAAACUAAGCAGUCUCAUAGCCUUUCAUGUG